GGGAAUCUUAGCUCAGUGUUUGAGCAUCUGCUUUGCAUGCAGAAGGUCCCAAGUUCAGUCCCUAGUAUCUCCA
This is a non-coding RNA of Podarcis lilfordi (Lilford's wall lizard), 73 nucleotides long. The record is from the annotation of a GenBank genome assembly. Lineage: Eukaryota; Metazoa; Chordata; Lepidosauria; Squamata; Lacertidae.